AUUGAACGCUGGCGGCAGGCCUAACACAUGCAAGUCGAGCGGAUGAAGGGAGCUUGCUCCUGGAUUCAGCGGCGGACGGGUGAGUAAUGCCUAGGAAUCUGCCUGGUAGUGGGGGAUAACGUCCGGAAACGGGCGCUAAUACCGCCUACGUCCUGAGGGAGAAAGUGGGGGAUCUUCGGACCUCACGCUAUCAGAUGAGCCUAGGUCGGAUUAGCUAGUUGGUGGGGUAAAGGCCUACCAAGGCGACGAUCCGUAACUGGUCUGAGAGGAUGAUCAGUCACACGGGAACUGGGACACGGUCCAGACGCCUACGGGAGGCAGCAGAGGGGAAUAUGAGACAAUGGGCGAAAGCCUGAUCCAGCCAGGCCGAGUGUGUGAAGAAGGUCUUCGGAUUGGAAAGCACUUUAAGUUGGGAGGAAGGGCAGUAAGUUAAUACCUUGCUGUUUUGACGUUACCAACAGAAGAAGCACCGGCUAACUUCGUG
Molecule: ribosomal RNA, 484 nt
Filed under: uncultured bacterium
Lineage: Bacteria
Description: partial 16S ribosomal RNA
Rfam family: Bacterial small subunit ribosomal RNA
Source: RNAcentral